UUUUGGACAAUGGGGGCAAGCCUGAUCCAGCAAUGGGGGGUGCAGGAAGAAGGCCUUCGGGUUGUAAACAGCUUUUGUAGGCCACGAAAAGCCCCCUGGUUUAUACCUGGGGCUAAUGACGGGUACCGUAAGAAAUAAGCACCGGCUAACUACGUGCCAGCAGCCGCGGGUAAUACGUAGGGUGGGGAGGGGUUAAUGGGAAUUACUGGGCGUAAAGCGUGCGCAGGCGGUUUUGUAAGACAGGCGUGAAAUCCCCGGGCUCAACCUGGGAAUGGCGCUUGUGACUGCAAAGCUGGAGUGCGGCAGAGGGGGAUGGAAUUCCGCGUGUAGCAGUGAAAUGCGUAGAUAUGCGGAGGAACACCGAUGGCGAAGGCAAUCCCCGGGGCCUGCACUACGCUCAGCACGAGG
RNAcentral lists this ribosomal RNA (408 nucleotides) under uncultured bacterium. RNAcentral describes it as "bacterial SSU rRNA". It matches the Rfam family "Bacterial small subunit ribosomal RNA", at positions 362 to 758 of the family's 1533-position model. The record is from RNAcentral.